GGGGGUUGGCACAUGCAGGGCCAGGGGUUGGUGCACCCGUGGACAGGGGUUGGUGCACCCGUGGACAGGGGUUGUGCUCCACCCUUGGCUGGCACAAGGGCCACCAGCACCAUCUGCCUGACAAGCUGAGCUCUUACACGGGCUCCGGCACCUCAUCGUGGGUGCCGGGGAGGCCCCAGGAUGCUACAUGAGCAGAAAUUACUCAUCAAGAAAAAGCUGCGUGAAAGUAUGAGACACAGCCUCGAACCUGCUAUUACCGCUCCAGAUUGCCCGGCCAGGUUCGUCAUUAGCCCUCUCCAAAUAACAUCCCAUUGCAGCCCAAUUAAUUUGAUUAAUGCUGGGCCGGAUUCUUCUCCGGCGCUGGGAGGAGCGAGAGCCGGGCCGGGGUGAAUCGGCCCCGGCGGCAGCACCGCGUGCGUUGGUGCUGCAGCCGCGGUGUCUGCCGGAUCAUGUAGACACGAGAAGGUCUGUAAAGGUUGGGAUGGGAGAGACCGAGAAGUCGCCUCCUACGUCCACGACACGUCCGGCCCGAGAUGGUGAGAACGCCGCGGGUUCCUGGGGACAACGCGGGACGGCGGGGCAGGGGUGACGGUCCCAGUGCGGUGAACCCGGGUGGACGCCGGAGCCGUGGGCUCCGUCCCGCAGGAAACCAGGGGCUUGGGUUCCCGGGGAGCUUGUCCAUGGAGCGCUGCCAGGUUUAUCUUCCCAUCUGCUGCGCUCAUGAAAGCGCUAAUUGCUCGGGACAUGGCGCUGGGGCGGGGCAUCGAGCAGCCGGGCACCGUGCUCAUGGCAGCUCCGGGGUGAAAAUAAACCGUAUUUGCAGCAAUGGGGCCUGUUUUGCUUAAAAUGAGUGAAUUUACUUGUGAAGCAGCCCUGGUGUGAUCAAGCAAGGACAAGUCUCCAAUACUUUUUGGUAGAGCCGUUGUCAUUUUGGACACGGAGGAGAGAAAAUACAGAAUAAAUGUGGUUUUUGUUGGUUUGUAAGUUCUGGUUUUCUGUAUAACUCAAUAAAAAUGCAGGAUAAGUACA
Long non-coding RNA from Columba livia (rock pigeon), 1029 nucleotides. RefSeq lists it as uncharacterized. NCBI's taxonomy places the organism in Eukaryota, Metazoa, Chordata, Aves, Columbiformes, Columbidae. The record is from RefSeq and is a predicted model, not a curated record. The transcript is spliced from 2 exons.